This 982-nucleotide ribosomal RNA is filed under the name uncultured organism. RNAcentral's name for it is "bacterial SSU rRNA". It matches the Rfam family "Bacterial small subunit ribosomal RNA", at positions 109 to 1095 of the family's 1533-position model. The record is from RNAcentral.
AGUAACGCGUUUGUAACCUACCUCUGUCUGGAGAAUAGCCCGAAGAAAUUCGGAUUAAUGCUCCGUAACACCAUGAUGAGGCAUCUCGUCAUGGUCAAAGCUCCGGCGGUCAGAGAUGGACAUGCGUAACAUUAGCUUGUUGGUGAGGUUACGGCUCACCAAGGCUACGAUGUUUAGGGGGUCUGAGAGGAUGGUCCCCCACACUGGUACUGAGACACGGACCAGACUUCUACGGAAGGCAGCAGUGAGGAAUAUUGGUCAAUGGGCGAAAGCCUGAACCAGCCAUGCCGCGUGAAGGAGGACAGCCCUACGGGUUGUAAACUUCUUUUGUACGGGAAGAAACACUUCUACGUGUAGAAGCUUGACGGUACCGUACGAAUAAGCAUCGGCUAACUCCGUGCCAGCAGCCGCGGUAAUACGGAGGAUGCAAGCGUUAUCCGGAUUCAUUGGGUUUAAAGGGUACGUAGGCGGAAGAUUAAGUCAGUGGUGAAAUCCUGCAGCUUAACUGUAGAACUGUCAUUGAUACUGAUCUUCUUGAAUAUAGUUGAGGUAGGCGGAAUGUGUAAUGUAGCGGUGAAAUGCUUAGAUAUUACACAGAACACCGAUUGCGAAGGCAGCUUACUAAACUAUGAUUGACGCUGAGGUACGAAAGCGUGGGGAGCGAACAGGAUUAGAUACCCUGGUAGUCCACGCUGUAAACGAUGAUCACUCGUUGUUGGCGAUAUAGUGUCAGCGACUGAGCGAAAGCAUUAAGUGAUCCACCUGGGGAGUACGAUCGCAAGAUUGAAACUCAAAGGAAUUGACGGGGGCCCGCACAAGCGGAGGAACAUGUGGUUUAAUUCGAUGAUACGCGAGGAACCUUACCUGGGCUUAAAUGUAGAACGACGGAUCGGGAAACUGAUCCUCCUUCGGACGGUCUGCAAGGUGCUGCAUGGCUGUCGUCAGCUCGUGCCGUGAGGUGUCGGGUUAAGUCCCAUAUCGA